AAAUUUACAUAGUACUUUGUGUGUGACGGUCACGCGUCACCUUUGUACGCGUCGUCCAAGGUCGAGAGCGCACAACUAGUUGCACCGCCGAUGCCUUUCUGCGGUCCGUACAUUGUCAUCGUGUACACGAAACGUUUCUUAAUUUUUUCAUUGGCGCGUUAACCGCGGUCAAUUAGUAGUAGUCUUGUAAUUAUUACGAAAACGACAGAAAAACGUUUGUUUUUAUUUUAACCUAGGCAGGCCUCGUAAUGGGCCACCAAUUAGUAAAACGCAAAUAGAAUUUUGUUUAUUUUAUUACACUCUCGUAUAUCGUCGACGUUCGUGAUCGUUGGCGACCGUAGGGGUUAAGUUCAAAUAGAGUUGACGGGAACGAACUUUGCGGACUGAGCGUGCGGCGUUUGUGCGUAUUUCACAUUCGUAAUACAAUCGAAAUAGCGAACCAACGGCAGCGGUGUUGUUAUCGGCGACAACUUCAAUUUGUGUUAAUCAGGCUACUGGGAUUGCCGCCGCCUCUCUUGCUACUCUCAUUAUCGCCAUGGUUUUUCUGGUGGGUCGUUACUAGGAAAUGUUUCGUUCGCCGCAGUAAUCUAUUAUUAUCGAUACCGACCAAUUCGGUUUACCCCGUUUUACGAUUCCGCGAACACCCCGACCGGGUUUUCGCAACGUUUUCUUAGAAUCACCGAGCGUUGUCGUCCGCGCGUCGCUUCUCUCUGUGGACGGCAGUAAGCUAGUAGACGAUGGCCGCGUAGUGUGUGUACUGAUCGAUAAAUUAUCGACUGGGAUUUUUCGUUCGAGUGUGUUUUUUCGUAUUAGUGCGCGUUGUGAAUUCCAUAUACGCGAUUCGCGUACUGCGUUUUUUCGUAACUUGACGAGCGGCCGGAGGAUCUCGUGUGGCCGGCAGGACGGCGUGUCACGGGCAACGGAUGGCGGCGACCGCCAAAACCAGUAGUUACGGACGGUCGAGUAAGAUCCGUGUGUAACGUAUUCGGAUAGCUUUCGACGUUUAAUUGUCCAUUUAACGGCUCCCCCCCA
Molecule: long non-coding RNA, 1032 nt
Organism: Daktulosphaira vitifoliae (grape phylloxera)
Lineage: Eukaryota; Metazoa; Arthropoda; Insecta; Hemiptera; Phylloxeridae
Exons: 2
Source: RefSeq, a predicted model, not a curated record